This 17189-nucleotide long non-coding RNA is filed under the name Medicago truncatula (barrel medic). RNAcentral's name for it is "long non-coding RNA (MTRU_LNC000957)". Lineage: Eukaryota; Viridiplantae; Streptophyta; Magnoliopsida; Fabales; Fabaceae. The record is from RNAcentral.
UCUCCAACAAAUUCCUAUUUUUUUACAUGCACUCUCUCAUAACAAACAAUUGUCAAUUUUCUAAAUAUUGUGUACAUCUUUUCAAUUAUUUUAAGUCAAUAUAAAAAUUAAAUUGAUGAAACUUCUUCUUCUUCAUUGUCAUCUUGUUCUUGUUCUUGUAUCUUGUCGAAUGAGUUUUCAACUAUUGCUCCCUCUUCACAUCUCAUCAUCAAUUUCAACGAGUCUUCCACUUUUUCAUCCUUUUGAGCAUACUACAUGGAGUCUUUUAUUUUUCUUCUCUCAAAUCUUUUAUUUUACUUUGCCCUUGAAAUUUUUAACAAUUGAUACUCAUCUUAGUUAUCGAAUUUUAACUCUUCUUGGAACCAUUGUUUGUAACAAAAUUUUGUUUAAAUUUGAAGAUAACAAGAAACAAACUUUGUUUAAAAAAAAACUGUGUUCCAAAUAGAUAGCAUUAAUUAGUUUUAUUGAAAAAGCUAAAAGUAAUUGGCAAAGGGUAUAAUUGACAAAUCGUAAUUUAAAAUACCAAAAAGACAGUAAAAUAGGAACGGAAAAUUCACCAUAAAAAGACACUUAAAAAUGAACGGAGGAAGUAUAUCCAAAGUUAAUAUGUAUCGAAAAUUGUGUUCAUGUGUAAUUUAUUUGUUGUUUUUUGUUGCCGUUGUUUCUUUAGUGGCACUUUGACUCUGUAAAUACUUGUCGGUGGUUCUCCUUUUGCAUACCUUAUACAGGUUGAACCACUCUGAUUUUAUUAAUAUCUCAUUUUGAUUUGUUAAAAAAAAAUGUAUCUAAAAUUAUAAGAAAUUUCAAAGAUGUUAGAAAAAUGAGUUCCUUGAGGCUUCUUUGAGUGUGACCAAAGAAGAUUUUUUUAAUAGUAGAGAUAGGAAAUAAGAAACAACAAGAAUGUAAAUGUAGGAGAAGAAAUUCAAGAUAAUAUCACAAACAUUAGUAGUGACUGAAAGGGCGCAAACAACACCGCGUGCAAUAUUUCUUACAGUUUGAGUGAAAUUGCAACAAAUAAUCACAAAUUAAUAUUCUAGUUAAGGUUCUUCUAAUUGCAUAAAAAAAAACUCACUUUAUUUCUCAAUUUCUCAAUGUUAUGCAUUCUAGUUAAGGAUUUGUGUUAUUAAAAUUUGAAAGUUAUACAAUGCUAAAUAUACUGAGUAAAAAAAAGUUCAUUAUACAAAAUCAUAUUAAGUUCACAGAAAAUAGUAUAGUGACAAAAAAAUAAAAAUAAUAAUAACAUACUAAUAUGAAGGGAACCAUGGCCUAUGUUAGUCUCCGUUCUAGUUUCAUCCCUGAUUGCAAAGUAUAUCAUAAUGCAAUCUUGUGUAGCUACGAUAAGAAUUAAAUAUUUUCAAUUAUCUACUAAUAGUAAUGAUUAAUUGACAAUGCAAGUACUCUUUACACCUGCAUUGCAUAUGAAUUAGAAGUCACUUUGUUGGCAUAUCACUCCUCAAUCUUGUGAUCCUCCGUUCAAAACUAGCGGUAUGGUAACAAAACCCAUAUAUGUGGGUAUCCGUUUGAACCAAACUUAAAUUGACGGGUUUUUUUUAUUUUAAUUGGGUUUGGGUUUGUCUCGAUUUCAAAAGAUAGAUACGGGACGGGUAACAGGAAUAUAGGUACUCAUCUCAAACCCAUCCUGAAUGUAGAAAAUUAAUUUAUUACCCAUUUUAUAUAAAUAAAAACUCAAACCCUAAAUCAUUUCACUCAUACAAUCAGAGUCUCGGUCUUUCAGAUGACACAAUUAUCAUAGUUCUUUCUUUUCUCCUUCAAUAUUCCACACUCUCAGCCUCUCUCUUCUUCAUCACCAUAGUCAUCGAUCGUCGUCAUCUUUUUACUGAAUAAUGCAUUAGUCAUUACAACUUUGCGCUCGGGGAUAAAAAAUACUUUUAUUUUUAAUAAAAAAAAAUUAUCCACUUCGGGGAUGGGAAUGAGGCGGGGAUGCCCAAACCCGUCGGGGACAUGGAUGAGAUUCGAUUUCUCAUCUCCGCUGAAUAUGGGUAUGGUAACGGGUAAGUAUUUGAAAAUAUGGUAUGAGGACGGGGAAGGUAAAACUCAUCCUCACCCUACCCCAUUGUGAUGCCUAUUCAUGAAGCACAUAUAUUUAGGUAAAUAUUAGAAUAGAAUAACAUUGGAAUGAAAUAAUGACAAAAUUAUCUCUUCACAUGUUUCAUAUUGAGACUCUUUUAUUUACAAUGAGUUCCUUAUUUCGUCGUUAUAGUUUAAGUGAUUUCACAUCACAUACUAUACCCUAACAACAAAGACAUAUUAUGCCACUUGGUUUCGGUACACAUUUCAUUGUCACGCAUCGUCGUCUUAUGGUUGUUGUGCCUUCAAUUUAGUUAAAACUAUGGGCUAUUGCUACAGACUGACAUUUUCCUCAAAAUCAAAACCACCGUUUAUUUGGCAGGUUAUGCAACUUCAUGUUGACUUCCUUCUAUUGAAAACCUCUCUUUCCAACGUAAUUUUUACGUAGCAAUACAUCCCCUUUGCUUAAUUAGUGACAAUAUUUGAAGUUACCCUACCUUGAUCAUCAUCAUCCCUUGCUUAAUUGGUGACGAUAUUGGAAGUAACCUUCAUCAUCUUCUUUGUGGUUUUUCUAGGAAUUCUUUAGGUGUCUUCGAGUUUGGAAGCAUACAAUCAUUUUUGUAAUAAUUAAAAAUUAAAAUUGUUACAAACUUCUAAAACACGGAAGGGUGAUUGAGUUGUCCUCGUGGAGUCAUGUGUCCAAUUGGUUAUAUAUACAAUCAUAUUAUAAUAGUCGUAUAUACGUAAACAUUUUUUAAAAAAAUAUGUACCACACUUUAAAAAUUCACAUAUGCAUUAAUUAAUUUACUUUUAACCUUAUCUUCUAAUAUAUUAUUAUAAAUUAAUUAAUAGUUAUUUUAAGAAAAACCAAUAAACAAUAUAACGCAAACUUGAAACAAAGAGUGAAUCAAGGAGAAUCUACAAAAUAAGUAGAGUAAUGUAUAAUUAAUACAGAAAAAAAAUUAACAAAUAAAAUUUAUCUCACCUUACCAAUGGAGAUUUUAUCUAUUGGAAAUGGUUGAUAUACUUACAAUUAGUUUUCGACACACAUCGAAUAUGAUUAUCUCCAAUUUAUGUGGCGGAAAAACUUAUCACACACGUUAGAAAAAGAAAAAAGUGUUUAUUUUUCUAGUUCCAUGAGUUUCUACAAGGUUUUUUUUACUUCACUAGCUAGUGAUGACUCGCAUGUGAGAUUUGCGAGUGCAACUUAACAUAUGUGAUUUUGAGACCACGAGAGAAGCAUAUAAUUUUUUUUUUUAAAGUACUAUAAAAUAAUAAUAAAAUUUGAACAUAUAUAUGAAAUGUGGUUGUAUCUUUCAGCAUGGAUUAGAACUUUGUUUGUCAUGUUUAUGAGAGUUUAAUCUCUUGCGCUAAAUUCAACCUUAUUGGUGAAUCUAGAUUUUUUUUUUUAUGUAUAUAUGUAUAUAUAUAUAUAUAUGAUGUUUCUAACCUAAUUAAGAGUUAUAUGUUGUAAUAAUAUUAUAUAAUUGUCUUUUUACUCCUUUUCGAUCUUGAGUUAUUUUGGGACGGGAAAAUAUCUUUAUUUUGGUUUUCAUAUAACUAUUCCCCCUUUUUUGUGAAUCCAAAGCAUUGCUUGAAAACUUUUAUUAUCAGCAUUGCUCGAAAGUUGAAACUAUUCCCGCUGGAUUCAAAGUUUUCAACUUCACUAAUUUCUUUGAAAAGAAAAUACUAUAAAACUUCACUGACAUGUUACGUUACAUUUGGAAGCCAGUCAUGUACCGUAAUAAUUGAAGAAAAAAUAUUAUCAGCCGACACUAAAUGCAUAAAAGGUUAAGACAUUACCGAUCCAUGUUUUGUCGUUGAACAAUUAGUCAAAUGUUAAUUGGUUUCAUUCAGAAUUAAGUGUAAAAAAUUUGAUGAUGAUAAUGAAAGAGACUUGAGUGUAUUACCCGACUAAAAUCCAUUUCGCUUUCUUCAUGUGCUCUAGAUCUACAAUUACCUGCUACACAUUCCAAUGGAUAAAUUCUGGUAAUUAUAAAUGUGAUUACUUAAAAUAUAUAUGGUGGCUUCUUAAACUAAAUUAUAUAAAUUGUUAUCGUUAAAAAGCGACUUUUAGAGUUUAUAGCAACAAUCGUAUCUAUUUGUUCACGGGUUUUUGGAUUAAGUUAGAUUUAGGCUAUUGGUCAUUUCAGUCCACUUAUAAAAAUGGAAGGAUGGAUAUUAUUUUAUUAAUUUACACCAUUCGGAGAAUUUCCUUAUUUUGUAUCAAGUCAAAUAAAAAUUAUAGCCUCAACUCUGGCAAAUUAUUUGCAACAUGUUACCCAAUAGUCUACAUUAUAUAUCUAUUAAAAAUCUUAAUAUCUUGUACAAACAUUGUGUAUAAAUCUUUAUUCGAUCAGUUAUAACAAAUUACAUAGACAUAUAGUGUGUUCGAUCGAGAAAAAUAAAUAAAAGAUUGGACAUGAUAACUACAUUUAUACUAUGUGAUUGUAAAACUACAUCAGGAACUAGAUAAACUUAGAGGGUAAAGGACACGAUAAAAAUUGAAAUUAUUAUCAUUUACUAAAUCAGAAUACAACUUUUUGCCUCAAAUACAAGUGAAUAAAAUACCCAAAUAGACUUUUAUCCACCAAGGAUCGUCGUCUAAGAUAAAAAAAAUUGUUCAAUAUAAUUAAAGUUAGUAAUGUGUCUUAUGUCUUAUUCCGUGUUCUUAUGUCCAAUACUUACAUUUUUAGAUAAUCAAACGUAUUCAUCCUGUUGAAGUACAUGGAGUCGAUACAAGUUAAGAACACAGUGGCUUGGGUUAGGUGAUAGAUGUACAAUCGUAUAGCUUAUAGGUCAAUUCUAACAUGUUUCUGAAAGUCAUUUUGUAUGGAGGUGUGUUAUUUGAACAAUCAUUUGAAUGAUAACUUUUGUGACAACCACUAAUUUACAAAGGAAAGUAGAUAGUGACACGGAAACCAAAGUAAUAGAGAGAUAAAGUAAAAAAAUAAUGUGAGUAUGAAAAAUAAAAUUGUCACAAAAUGGUUGUCAAAAUAUCAUUUCUCUUUUGUAUAACAUGCACAAAUAUUUAAAAGAUAAAUGAUAUUUGUAUAACCAUUUUUUUGACAACUUUUAGACAAUUUUCUCUCUCAUAUUCACGUUAUAUUCUUAACCUUUCUUUUCCUUUUUCUCUCUCCUUUGUUUUUAACCAAUAAAAAGAGAGGAAAAAAAAGUUGUCAAGAAAGUUGUUAGCAAAUAGUUGUUCAAAUAUCAUUGCUCGAGUUAAAAUCGUGCUCACUAAACACAAAUGAUUUUUGACGAAGUUUUGUGUAGGCACAAGCAUUUCGGCGCACAUACAUAAAUCAAAAAAAUUAAAAGAUAAAUAAAACAGUCACAUCAAUCAAUAUCAUUUUAAUCAUUUAGUUUUUAAUUUUUUUUUAACUUCAUGGAUGCGUACCUAAAUGUGAGGUGUUGGUCAUAUGACCAAAUAAGAGAUUUUCAUGAUUUUUUUACCAUAAGAUCAAAAAGUUAUAUCAUAUCUCAUUUUAUUACAUUUUUUCUUUAAUGGUGGGGUUUAUUGGUUUCUAAAAAUAUAUCAAUUACCACCCUUUGUUUUCAAAUUCUUUAACCCCGUCACUAAAAACAUAAAAGUAUUUGGAGUAGGUUUAUUUUGUGAAAACAUUUUAAGUUUUCUAGAAUUUAUAUUUUUAAGCAAAAGUGAAUUGCAAAAAUUUAAGCGAGAUUUUUUAUCACAAGUUUACAAUUAUGGUGAAAUCGAAGAACUUAACUACUUAGGUUGUAAACUAAGAACAUUUUAUUAACAAAGAACCAAAAACAGGCAUGAUGGAGUGCAUAGACCAAAAUCUAAAGAAAAAACAUCAAACAGAAAUAAAGGGAAACUAUGUCGAUUAUUAUAACAACAAUCCUCUAAAAUAAAUCUAGGUGGAAGAGUCCACCAAAUAUAACGUUUAGAUUAAAAACCAAAUCCCGCUAUAAAUAUGAGAGAUUACAAUUAAUUGCAUUUGAGAACACAAUGACAAAGCAUUGCGUUGUCUUUUUUUUUUUUUUUUUUUGUCAUUUAGCUUAAUGGCUAUAGAAAUUCACCUUAAAGAUGAAUAAUUGAAGUGUCAUGCAUCGUCUGUUUUUUAAUCUCCACGUGAUAGACCGAGAAUUCUAAAAAGACUUCACCGAUAAUGACGGUGGAGAUUAAAAAACGUUCAUAAUUGCGGCCAACAAAACAAUUUGUGACUAAUAAUUCUAACCUUUUUAAAGAAAAACACGAAGUAGACAAGAAAAAGGAUGUAUCAAUAUGACAAUCAAUGGAAGUCCAAAGUCAACUCUAAAUGUUAACAUCAAAUUGAUUAACGUUGUAACUUGUAACACCUCGUUUUUUCAACUUAAAAAUUUCACAUAUAAAUUAAAGUAUUUCAACAUAAACAGAAUGUCACACUUCUUUUCAUAAAAUCAUAAACAGAAUAAAAUAACUAUUUAUCCUUCAAAUUCAACAGCAUAUCAUUUAUUACAUCGCAACGGAAUGUAUUCAACAUUUAAACAUCUUUUGCACCAAGGCCUCAACAUAAAAUCUCUUAAAGUUAUUCCAACAACAUGUUCAUGAAAGUUCAUAAAAUAAUACGUAAGGAAUAGAAAGCAACAACAAAAUUCUCAUCCCGUUACGUAUCAGGGCACCUAAGACACACGUGAGAGAUAGUCCACUCACGACAACAACUAACAGCAACUAUUCUCGAUCACCUGCAGGUUACCCAUAUGAAGGGUAACAAUUCCAAGCAGAAGGGGUGAGAUUUCAUAUUCAAAUAAUAAUAAGCAUAUAAUUCAUUAAAUGCAUUUAACAACUUAAACUUCAUCAAUUAAUAACAUUAACUCUUCUUAUAAUACUUCGUUAAUAACUCAAUCAAUUUCUAAUCAUCAUUAACUUCAUAUUCAUCACAUUAUAUACAACAUCAUAUAGCACAUAAUAAUCAGAUCAUAAACAUCAUCAUAUAACGACAUAAUCAUCACAUCAUAAACAUCAUCUUAUAACAAGAUAAACGAUACAUCAUAAACAUCAUCUUAUAACAGCAUAAACAACACAUCAUAAACAUCAUCUCAUAACGACAUAAACAACAACGAUUAAUAAAUAUUAAUACUUCACUUAGUUCUUUAUUAACAACUCAUUGACAAAUGACAACUUAACGACAACGACAAUGCGACUUCUACAUCUUAAACUCAACAUAUGCAACUUCAACUUCUUAAUCAUGCAUGUGGUACCAACCAGAGCAUCAAGCCCUCAACAUAAAGAGCAUAAAUACACUCACAGGGCAUCAAGCCCUCAACAUAAGAGCAAAAGCUCACAGAGCAUCAAGCCCUCAACUUCAAAUGAUUAUGCAUGGACUCAAAAACGUACAACUUAGACAAAUUCACAACUUAUAUGAUCCAAUAUCUUGGAAUAACAACUUACAACUUUACAACUUAGACCAACACUUGCAACUUAAUGACAAUAAUGGUUCAACAACAACAGAAACAGCAACAUAAACAUCUUGCAACAUAGCAACAUCAAUAAUAACAAUUUGAAUGAUAUAAACAAUAAUAAUUUCUAUAUCAUACAUUUUCAACACCUUAUAUAAAUAUCUUAAAUUAACCAACAAUCAUUAAUCAUUUGAUUCAGGCUCUCUUUAACUCUAUAACUUAAUAACAACUUCCAUUCUUAUCCAAAGAUCAACUCAAAACAUAGGUUAAAUACUCUUAAACAUCUUAAUUGAACUCAUAGUACUUCUAGUUUUGAGGUUUUGAAUUAUCCCAUAAGUUUUGGAUUAACUUAGAAAUGGUUAUGCUGAAUUUUCAUAAGAUUUCACUAAGACCUCUCUGGAGUAUUUUUUAUCAUAUCUCAAAAACCAAAAAUCAUUUUCAAAUCAAACCAAAGCCAUUGAAAAGCUAAUAAAAUUAUCUAAAACUUUCAUGUUUACAACUAGACACAGUUCAAAGCGGAAAGGGGUGAAAAAUAGUAAAAUAAGAAGGAUCUGAUUCACAAAAAUCGUGCCACGUUUUUAUGCCCAGAACCAUUGAACUUUCGGCCAACAAAAUUGUGCCACGCUUGCAAAAUCGUGACACGUUUUGACAGCAUCAGGUCCAGAAAUCUGCUUUUCAAAAAGUGCAAUUUUCACCAUUUCGCGCGUAAAAUUCAAACCGUUAAUCGGAUUUUGAUGCCGUUUUCGCCUACACGCUCCUGAAACUUGGCUCUAUCAUAAUCUACAGCUAUUUCAAGUCUCAACCAUCCCAAGAAUCAUUUUCCAAAACCUCACAUAAUCCCUUAUUUGCAAAAACGUUUAGACACCGACUUUUCAAGCGAAAAUCUCAAUUUUCAUCAACUCAACCCCAAAACUGGUUCUAAUCAUUGUACUGUGAAUAAUCUAAGGUCUGAACAUCGUUUCUUCAUUAAUUCAACAGGUUUCUAUCAUCUAAUCAACCAAUUACAACUUUUAACCCUAAUUUCCCAAAUUCCCAAAACUACAACCUACAACAUGUUAAAUCCAAUUUUCAGAAUUAUACAACUUAUAAUUAAAGAAUGUUAUCAUUCUAGGUUCUUCUCUUCUAUUGUUUUCUCCCUUUUUCUCCAAAAACUUGUUUUACGCGAUCCUUAUUUUCUAAUUCUAACUCUCCCCUUUUAUAUAAAUCCUUAACCUACUUAUUUUCUCUUAUUUCCAAAUCUACCCCCAAAGUCUCAAUAUUCUAUUCUAAUAUAUAUGUAUAAUAAAAUACUUCUAUAACAAAUAACAAAUAUAUCUCUAUAACAAAUAUAUUUAUGUACCAGAUAACAUAUAUAUUUCUUCACCAAAUUAGAUAUAUAUUUCUACACCAAAUAACAUAUAUAUUAUACUAAUAAAUACCAACAUAUAACAUAACAAAAUAUCACUCAUCAAAAUAAAUCGACUAAAUUAUAAAAAGACAUCUAAAUUCAAUAAAAUAAAUAAAUAUUAAAAUAGGGCGUUACAAACGUGCUUUCUAUCAUCGAUGAACCAGAGCAAAAUUACCAUUAGAUUCAAUCAAUGGUCAUGAUUUAUACAAAAUAAAAAUAAGAACAUUUAAGAAUUGCCUCGCACAAUCUUGCCCCUAUUAAACUUUUUUAUUUUUGGUAUUCAUCAUCUUCAACCUCCAUUCCAAUUUUUUCGUAAUAAAAAAAAAAAAAAAAACUCCAUUUCAAUUUAGGAGCAAUGCUACAAAAGAGAAUUUGCACAAAAAAUUGAGUGUGUCUUCAAAAGUUUACGGGGUUUGCUAAAAAUCUAGUUUAUGGGUUCAAUUGGAGGUGGUGACUAAUGAAAUUGGAGGUUUAACUCAUCCUUAAAAACCAGUUCAUAAGGUGAGUCACGCCCAGCACUCUUUGGGCUUACGUGAAUCGGUAGGUAUUUGGGCUUACGUGAAUCGAUAGGUAACUCUUGAAUUCGACAGGUUCUGAUACCAUAAUGAAAUUGGAGGCCUAACUCAUCCUUAAAAACUAAUUCAUAAGGUGAGAAUUGUCUCCUCUAUAUUAACUCUUAUCAAGAGUCUUAUCUUUUCGAUGUGGAACAUGAGUUUUUUUCAAUAAUGACCUUUAAAGUUUAAACACGCGGCAUCUUUGAAUUCUACAUAGAAAAAAAAAAUAGAAUUAUAGCGUGUUAUGUUUGUUUCUCUAGAGCAUGAGACAUUUCAUUGUUCAGUUUAUGUUGUCAUGGAAAGGCAUAUGAGUGAUGGGUGUACAUCAUCGAUCGGUGGUUUGAUUCUCGUGAAUAGAACAAAAAAAAUCUGAGCUCAAUGGUACAAAUCCUUACGAUGAAAGGUGAGAUAUAGUAGGAUUGUGUGUGGAUAGUUGUAAAUGUUAUCUUUUUUAAUUCUAGUAGAUCAAAAUUGUUAAUCUCAUUUCAUGGUAAAAAUUAAAUAGUCCAUUUGUGAGGGACUCAAUAGCUCCUUCACCUUAGACGUCACCCUUAAUUAAUAAGAAACUAACGGCGAGGGACUCAACUCCCUCACCUUAGACGUCACCAUUGAUUAAUAAGAAACUAACGAUUGAAGUAAAUAAACGAGAAAGAAACUCAAACUUCUUUCUAAACUUUCUUUCUCUUUCGUUCAUCAAGGAGGGGUGGUUUUUGACCUAGAAUCACCCCUCUACAUCUUUUUUCCCAUUUUCUUUCAAUCUAAAUAAGUGGUUUUCACAUACAAGUGUUUCCUUUUGUGUUUUUUGUGAUUUUGUCGUCUAAGUACAACGCUGUGUUGGUCGUCGUCUUGUGCGGCGUUUGAUUUCACGUCUUGUCGCGGCGUUCGUUUAGUUUCUAUUGAAAGAUUGACAUCGGUCAAUUAUAAAUCCAAUCAAUGAUUUGGGUGUGAAUGUUGCCGAUCUAGAAACAUGAGUAUUUCGGUGACUUAGAUUUAAUCAUAUUAGUUGUAGCAUUUUGUCAUUUUAUGUUAUUAACUUGGGUGCUGUGAGUUUGUUCGCAGUUUUACCCUUUACGUUUCUAGCGAUUUUUGUAUCUGAUGUACUCUAUCAAUCUGAAUGAAUGAAUAUCGUUUUGUUUUUAUUAAAAAAAAAAAAUAAAAAAAAAACUAACGGUUAAAAGUUUGCUCUACAUGCCUACAAUGAUAAUAAAUAGAGAUAAUUUACUACAACUUUUAAAACAAUGAUGCUCAUUUAUAGGAACUUUACCAUAAAUAAGUCUCCAAAGAAAAAAUGAUUUGGAUUGAGGAAUUGAAGGUUUCCAAAUAAGCUAUGUCCAUGAUUGAUCAUAUGCAGAAACUUGACAAAAACUAUCAGCAUCCUAAACUGAAAGAGAACCUGAUGAAGAACCCUUCUAAGCAAGAUAUUCAGUGGAAAACUAUACCCCGAUAUUUAUCAAAUUUCAUAUUUCACCAAUUCAACUCUCUCUAUCAAUAGUAUAUAUAUAAAGUAAGAUUUUUUAUGACACGUGUCACUUCCACGUUUAUUCGCAAUAUUUUUAUUUUUUUUCUAAUUUUUCAAAACCAAUAUUUAAUUUGGCAUAAAUAUCUCAACAAACUUUUGAUCUUAUCUAUUAAAUAUUUUACUUAACUAUUUAUUGAAUUCCUAAUAUUUUAUGUAAUAGAAAUAUCUCAACAAAAUUACAUACGAUACCCUUCAAUUAAAAAUCAUCAAUCAAUCAAUAGUAUAUAUAGUAAGGUUUCUUAUGCCACGUGUCACUUUCAUGUUUAUUCGCAAUAUUUUUAUUAUUUUUAUAUUUUUUAAAAUCAAUAUUUAAUUUUGUAAAAAAAAAAUCAAUAUUUAAUUUGGCAUAAAUAUUUCAACAAAAUUUUAACCUUAGGGAUGGCAAUGGGUACCCUAUCCCAAUGGAUAGGGUACUAUAGUACCCUAUCCAUUGGGUACUCAUUGCCAUAAAUGUAUUGGUCUAUUCUCCACUAUCAUAAAUAUAAAGUGAAAUAUAUUGAAUUGGAAAUGAUGAAAGUAGUAUUAAUUAGAGUUAUAAUUGAAAAAAAAAGUAAUUAAUAAUUGUAUUGAAAAGUUAAAUGCAUCAAGAUUUUUGAGACAAUAUUUUUUACAAAUAACUUAGUUAUUAUGGGACGGAGGGAGUAACACUUUAACAUGACAAUGAAAAGUAAAUUUAAGAAUUAAAAUGCAAGAAAUGAAGAGAAUGUUUCUCUAACACAAAACUAUUUUUUUUUUCUCUUUCACUUAUACACUUUUUUAAUGUGUAAAAUAAAAAAUAAAAAAAACUUAUGUAUAAUGAGACGGAGGGAGUAGUUAGUAAGAACAAAGUCGUCAAGGAACCAAUUAACUCUUGAUUUCACUUCCCAAAAACGUCUUGAUAGUGCUAUACUCCCUCCGUCCCAAAUUAUAAGCAAAAAAACAAAAAUCACACUUAUUAAGAAAACUAAAACAUAAAAAUUUGGAGUAUAGUUUUUUGUGUUUUCGUUGGAAAAAGUUUUAUAGGAAGAUGUAAAAACAAUUUUCAUUGGCUAUUGAUUAUGGAAAAAAUGAAAGAAAGAGAAAAUUGAAUGUAAUUUGCAUUUAAUUUUAUGAGAAUAACAAAAAAAAAUCUUGGAAAAGAUUAAAAUUUGUCUUUUUUCCUUAUAUUUUGGGACAAAGAAAAUGAAUUUCUUUUGCUUAUAUUAUGGAACGGAGGGAGUACUUGGUUAAGCUGGAUUGAGCAUUCAAUUCUAAUUUAAGGGCCUUUAAUUUACCUUAAAGAAUAAACAUAGGACAACCAACCACAUAAUUAUUUAUACCAAACAUUUUCCACCACGUGGGUGAUAUCUGGAAGAUGAGAGUCCAUUUAAGUGAGUCAAUGUGACGAAAAAAAAGAUAAAAUGGCAAUUUUAGGAUCGUAAAUUUCUGAAAAUAAUGGAAGUAGUAAUUCUUUUAACGUUUUCAUUGUUUUAAAAAAAUUAUCCAAUCAUAUUUUAUAUGCAAUUUUUGUUUUUUAGAUUAAUUAAACAAUAAAUUUUGUUAACCAGUGUCCUAAGGGUGAUGAUUAAGGAAUUCAAAUGUAAAAGUUUUGUCUUGUAAUUGUAGGAUGUUACAUUUGAUCAAGUAAUGAUUAUACUACUUUUUAUUAAAAACUUACUUGAUUUAGUUGUUUAACCAGUGUGAACACUAGUUAACAUUCUCCUUAAAUAAUUGAUGUUUCUGAAAUAUAAUAUAUAUAUAUAUAUAUAUAUAGCUCAGAUACAUCACUUAUUUAAUGAAGAGUUUUUUUUUUUUCCUUCUCUUAAUUAACGAAUAAAACUAACACUUAUAUAUCUACCAAAAAAAAAAAAAAACUAACACUUAUAUAAUAUAGUUCGGAUACAAUAUAUUUAUAUAAUAUAAUCCGGAUACAUCACUUAUAUAAUCAACAUUGCUAUUUACCGCGACAAGUUUUGUCCCGAAUGCAUCAAGAAUGAAAAUAAGCCAAUUAAAAACAGCUGUUAGUGGAAAUCAUGGGAGGUGGGGGAGAAAAAGAUGGAAAUCAUAAACUAAUGGAUGGAUGGCAUACAUGCCACAUGUGUCUGGAAAAUCUCGGGACAGUUUUAUUUCGUGUGAAAUAGCAUUUUUCCUUAUAUAAUAUAGUCCAGGUACAAGGCAACUAUCACCGGAUGAGGUUUUAUCUUUUUAUUAAUGAAUAAAACUUUUUUUAAGAAGCUAAAUGCAAAAUAUAUUAAAAACCAAAUUAGUUAAGCACAAGAUGUGCCAAACGAAAAACUGUGUAUAACGUCAAAGUAACAAACUCGAUAAAGAAAGAAACCACAAAUAAUAAAAAUCAAAAGCGAAAUUCAGUUUAUGUGUCUUUAGCCACCACAAAAAAUGAAAUUUAAUAUUGUCGAGAAGUUGAUCCUUAGAAGACACGUUGUUAUUGAAAUUUCUCGAGUUUCUCUCCUUCCAAAUUCUCUCCUUCGAAAUAACUCAAAGACAUGUCAGCACACCACUUUAAAACAAGAGCUAAUGUCCUUCCUGAAAGCAUGCGCGCCAAAAAAUUGUUGUGCGUGACAACCAAUAUUUGAUGGAACGACGGUAGUUUUACCCUACCAGAUCAACAAACACCCUACCAGAUCAACAAACAGGGAAAAUAAAUAAAAAAUAUUUUUGCAAAGUAAUUAAACGGAUUCUAAUGUUUAAUAGGAACCGAUCGAGGACAACAUAGAAAUCAUGCUGGAAUUUGAAGAAGAAAUACAAACCUAAUUAAAGAGAGGGGCUAAGUAUUUCCAAGCUGGAACUUGAAAAAGAAAAACCAUGCUCUAAUUAAGUAACUAAGUAAGGUAGUACAUUACAACAAUUGAGAUAAGUACGACACAUUAUGAUGAUUAUGACUUAUGAGCUGUUAAAUGAUGUUGUAGGAUUACUUUUUUCUUGUCAAAAAUAAAUAAAUGAUGUUGUAGGAGAAACAUUAUUAUAAACAUUAUUAUAACUUACAAGGACUAAUGUUUAAAAAAAAAAACUUACAAGGACUAAUAAUGAGACAGAACGAAAGUGUACGUGAGUGUAGGAGACACGUUAUUAUAACAUUUUAUAAAUAUUUAAACGUUGAUAAUAAUUUUGUCGAUCUAUAAACCACUACCAAUUCCUAGUUAAAUAUAUAAUAAUUUUUAUUAUAUUUGUUAGUUGAUGGUAAAAGAUGAAUAUAAUUUGUUACUAUAUUUUUUUUUGACAAAAUAAUUUGUUGCUAUUUAAAAUUCAUAAAUAUAGUCUAUACAUAUAAUUUUAAUAAAAAUAAAAAUUCACCCAAAAAAAAAUCAAAAAUUUCAUAAAAAAAUAAAUAUUGUUUAUAAUUCACGAGCGUUGUCGCAGUACAAAAAUGGAUAGAUGGAUACCCAGUACUAGUAAUUAAUGAAGUUAAUUGGUAAAAUUUCACUCUUACUGGUGGUUGAUGGUAGGGGUGUUUACGGUGCGGUUUGGUUCGGUUUUGAGAGAAAAAGUCAUCCAAACCGCAAGAUAAAAAAACAUGCGGUUUGUGUAACACCCACAGCUGACGAGGGCAGGGGAGUGGUCACCGGUGCACAAGGCACGCCAAUGAGCGGCUCCCGACAGCUUCUAGAGGAACCGAAUCACAUCUGAAUGAGAGGGAUCCUGAGGCCGUGUAGGUGUGGGACUACAUGAAUGAAGGAAUGCUUAUAAGAAUUGUUUGGUAAUACCUAUAUCAACAAGGUGCAUCUUCUUUUUGGUACCCUAUUCCAUAAGAACUCCACAGUUAAGCGUGCUUGACUUGGAGUAGUCUUUGGAUGGGUGACCUACCGGGAUUCCCGAUAAGCAUGCGAGUGAGGACAAAACACGCUGAAAAGACUCGUGUUGGUUUGUAGGGUCAGUCGACAAUGCUUAAAGUCGUCUGGGAUGUUACAGUUUGGUUUGGUUCGGUUGGCUUUAAAAUAAAAUCCGAACCAAACCAAACCAAUAUGGUUUGGGUUGUAUCGGUUGGUGCGGUUUUUUUCGUGACGAUACGAUUUUUUGUUUCCAACAUUAAAAUCAAGAUAAAAAGCUGAAACACAAUAUAUUUUCAACAAUGUUUUAAAUUUCAUCAAACAUUACAAUUUCAUUUUCAUUACAAUGUUUCCAACAACAUAAACCAAAUUAAAAACGCGGACAAAAAGUAAUCUUAUUUUGUAAGAAAUGCAAAAGACUGAGAUGUUCUCAUUCUCUAAAAGUUAAGUAGCACAUAAAUACAUUUUUAAAUAAAAAGCAAAUAAUGAACUUAACAAGAGAAAAAAAAUAUGACAUUUUAUAAAAGUUUUCAUUGAGUUUCUAUGAGUAUUGGUCUUGAUGACAUAUGUUUAAUUAACAUUUUUCUUAUGUUAUGGUUUGGUUUGGUUUUGUAUCUAUUUGACAGUCUCUUUGUACUUUGAGCGACCUCUUUAGUACGCCUUAUGCUAAAGAGGUGUCUCUCUUAUUGUGAAUAUAUAUCAUUUUACCUUCUUAAAAAAAAGUUAAUUGGUAAAAAAAAAAAAAAUUUCUCUCUUGAUUUAUAUGAAAUGACAUUUUUUUUUGGAACAUGGAGGGUAUUGAUUUUUACACCUUUUCAAAAGCCACUCAAGGAUGAAUAUAGAUUUUUCAUGCAUCAAACACAAGAAUCAUUAGCAUAACAUGCUUUGGAAAACACACACAUAUACUUAAAUUAAUGGUUGGAGUAUCAAAUUUAAAAAUAUUGUUGUCAAUACAUACCCCGUCAAUCCUCCUUUUUUACCCAAUAAACAUUGAAAUGUUGCUUCUUUCGUUAAGCAUAAAAACAUCAAAGUCUAGCAAAAUGUUGUUUUUGCGAUGACACAUUUCAUAUAGUUUAAAGGAUGCAUGAUUCGAUUACAAAAACAAAAUACUAAUAAUUCUAGCACAAAGUUUAAAGCUAAGAUUAUAAAGCUUCAUAGCAUGUGGAUAUUCAUUUAGAAAUAUAGGAUUAGGAUUGCCCCUUUCAUCACGGGUCUAAUAGCACCACUUGUCACUACAUGUUAAAAAUGUCCUCUAGUACAACACCGCUUUUUACUUGAUUCCCCUUGUCCAUGAAAAAAUCAAACAAUAUUUGGACACAAAAAUUUGCCCCCACUUUCCUUUUUCUUCUGCCCUAGUUUGUUUGAAAACUCAUAUUGAUCAAAUUUGGCUAUGAAUUCAAACAAAAAAUUCACUCUGCCCAUUGCAUGUGUGGGACCCACAUAUAAAUCCAUGAAGGAUUUCAAUGUCCAUCCAAGUCAAUGAUUCAACAUAUAACAUUGAAUAAUUUAAUUCCAAUUUGCAGUAUUAUGAUUUAGAUUGAUUGCUGCAAUACGGUCCGUGAAUGUAACUCACGAGAAAGAGGUAUCAAGGUAUUUUAUUUUAUUUUUAACAAAUAAAAUUUCAAGGUCUUGUUCACCAUAUAAACCUCCUCACUCUCACUCAAUUCUCUUAAGUGUAUGACUUCAUAGUAAACUACACUACUUUCUUUAAAACAUGGCUAACUAUGCUAUAGCCAAUGUUUUGAUCCUUCUCUUGAACUUGAGUACCUUACUCAAUGUUCUUGCUUGCCCUUAUUGUCCUUACCCAAGCCCUAAACCACCUUCACACCACCCUCCUAUUGUUAAGCCACCAGUUCACAAACCACCAAAGCAUUCUCCUACUCCUAAACCACCAGUUCAUAAACCACCAAGAUAUCCUCCUAAACCAUCACCUUGUCCACCCCCAUCAUCAACACCAAAACCACCUCAUCAUCCCAAACCCCCAGCAGUACACCCACCACAUGUUCCAAAACCACAUCCACCUUAUGUUCCAAAACCACCAAUUGUUAAACCUCCAAUAGUACAUCCACCUUACGUACCAAAACCCCCAGUUGUGAAACCACCACCAUAUGUCCCUAAACCACCUGUUGUGAGACCACCCUAUGUUCCUAAACCACCAGUUGUACCUGUAACACCACCUUAUGUUCCUAAGCCACCAAUUGUUUUCCCACCACAUGUUCCUCUACCUCCAGUUGUACCAUCACCACCACCUUAUGUACCAACACCUCCAAUUGUGAAACCACCAAUUGUUUUUCCACCACAUGUUCCUCUACCUCCAGUUGUGCCUGUAACACCACCUUAUGUGCAACCACCACCUAUUGUAACUCCACCAACACCAACACCUCCAAUUGUGACACCACCAACACCACCUAGUGAAACACCUUGUCCUCCACCACCACUUGUACCUUAUCCACCACCACCAGCACAACAAACAUGUUCCAUUGAUGCUUUGAAGUUGGGUGCAUGUGUUGAUGUGCUUGGUGGACUCAUACAUAUUGGUAUAGGUGGAAGUG